UAGCUGUAAAGCAUGCGGGCCAGGUGUCUGGUGUUCCUCGAGAGCACCAGGUGCCGGAGAGAAGUCGUUAAGCCCGCCGCCUGGGAAGURCGGUCGCAAGGCUGAAACUUAAGGAAAUUGGCGGGGGAGCACCACAAGGGGUGGGACCUGCGGUUC
Molecule: ribosomal RNA, 156 nt
Filed under: uncultured archaeon
Lineage: Archaea
Description: partial 16S ribosomal DNA
Rfam family: Archaeal small subunit ribosomal RNA
Source: RNAcentral